GAGGCGGAGCUUGCAGUGAGCUGAGAUCUGGCCGCUGCACUCCAGCCUGGGCGACAGAGCGAGACUCCGUCUCAAAAAAAAAAAAAAAAAACCAUCCCCAGUAGAAGAGGGCCAAUGUUUGGUCAAGGAUAUAUAAGUAGUUACAUUCACCUGCUAGAACCUCCAAACAAGCUCUCAAGGUCCGUUUGUAGGAAAAUGUUGGAUAGUCAAACUUCCAAGACUCCAGACACAUCCAAAUAAGGUGGCAGUCUGUUUUUUUUUUUUUU
RNAcentral lists this small RNA (266 nucleotides) under Rhinopithecus roxellana (golden snub-nosed monkey). RNAcentral describes it as "7SK RNA (ENSRROG00000006383.1)". The stretch from base 112 to 261 matches the Rfam family "7SK RNA", at positions 173 to 331 of the family's 331-position model. From Rfam's summary of the family: 7SK was discovered as an abundant small nuclear RNA in the mid-70s but a possible function has only recently been suggested. The record is from RNAcentral. Lineage: Eukaryota; Metazoa; Chordata; Mammalia; Primates; Cercopithecidae.